AUUCCAUUGGCAGUGUUUCAUUUACAUUUAACACAAGCCAUAAUGGAGUCAUGUGCCAGUUCACCUCAGGACAUGAUGGGCACUAAGACAAAACUAUUGGAAAAGGGAGAAGUUACUCAGAUGAAGCUGAGCACAGAGCAGUGGAUUUCUGACACUAAGUAAGUGAAACUGAUUGCUAUGUAAGCCUUUGGCUGCCAACUGCUUCAUUUGAAAAGGCUCGUACUAAAACAAUCAAGAACUGCAAAGACCCCGUCUGGAAUGAAACCUUCUAUUACAGGAUUCAGAGUCAGGUCAAGAAUGUGUUGGAGCUGGCUAUCUAUGAUGACGAUGUUGUUACUCAAGAUGACCAUCUCUUCACUGUGCGCUUCGAUGUGGCCAAACUUCCAUUUGGAGAACCAGUCCUCAUGUACUUUAAGCUGGACAACCAGGUGAGUCGAAAUAACAGAAGGUUUGGGU
RNAcentral lists this long non-coding RNA (456 nucleotides) under Crocodylus porosus (Australian saltwater crocodile). Its description in RNAcentral is "lncRNA (ENSCPRG00005018470.1)". Lineage: Eukaryota; Metazoa; Chordata; Crocodylia; Crocodylidae. The record is from RNAcentral.